AAAAAUAUGGUAUAAUCCAUUUAUUUACCAGAAAUUUGGUAGGUGAUCACACAUAAGCUAACUGUACACAUACUUCCAAGAACCUUACCCUAUAUGAUCUACAUAUAACCAUAAAUGAGAAGGAAAAAAAUCACUGUUAUGCAAAACGAUCACAGAUCGUUUUCUAUCAGGGCCUAGACUACAUGACCCAUCACCAGUAAUAUUAGGUAAUUACAAAUAAUCAAGUAUCUCAUGAGACAACAAAUAUCACACGUGAGCAUCAGGUACAUGUAUGUUCCAAACCCAAGGUGAUUUGUUUCAUUUAGCGUAAAGCCAAAUUUCAUUUUAGGUGUGUCCAUGCGUACUACUUAUGGGUUGGAUAGAAACACGUAGUACAAUAGGGGUUCAUCUGCUAGAAUUAUGACGAAAGUCAAAACAGUUACUUCUCAAAUCUUUUUUCUAGGACUCUUGUAUCAGUUUAAACUUUCUCCACUUCUGCAUUCAUGCUCUCCAGCUAUGUCAACAAAGACUACGUCAAUACCAGUAAACAGAGCUGACACCCCAAGUUGUAUGUGAAGGGCUCUCACUGUGAAGGGGGUAAAUCUUGGAUGCCAUUCCUCAACUUAAUUAAGCUUCUGCUUCACCCAUCCUGCAGUCUACAAUUGCUAAACAAAUACGUACAAUAUUGGCAGGCUGAUAGAUAAUAGCCACAAAGAGAUCCCCCAAUGGACUGCUGAUGGAAGUAGAUCAAAACUUCUCUGAAACAAAAGCCAAUACACAUAUCUGAAUGAAUUAUAGCAGAACAGAUACUUCAAUCCUAAUAUGUGAUGGAUAGUUAAUUACUGAUUCAAGGUCAAGUGACAUUUAGAUUUGAUAUUGUAAAAGAAAAUAGGGAAAGAAUCAUGCCUUAUUGGAUCCCAUGUACCUUGCUGACGGGAACAUUGCCGCCACUGAUACAGAGGUUCAUCUUGCACACUGCAAGGAAAUCCCACAGCUUCCACCAGCGGUAGUAUCUGAUCACAGCAGCGAAAAUACUUACAUGAAAACAAAACUGAGCAUUGCCCGCCUGGCUGGAUAGGUGUGUAUCAAUGGUGCUCGCAACUGGUAUAAACCGGAAAAAAAAUCAUUCAUGAAUAACUCAACCUGAAUCAUGGAUUGCUCUCCAUAGUCUGAGCGAUAGCUGUACCGUACCCAUGCAUAUGUGCAUGCUAUAUCAAGAAAAUCAGCAAUUCUAAUAAGAUAAUAAAC
RNAcentral lists this long non-coding RNA (1227 nucleotides) under Triticum aestivum (bread wheat). RNAcentral's name for it is "long non-coding RNA (TAES_LNC004291)". Lineage: Eukaryota; Viridiplantae; Streptophyta; Magnoliopsida; Poales; Poaceae. The record is from RNAcentral.